Acinonyx jubatus (cheetah) is the source of this 1239-nucleotide long non-coding RNA. RefSeq lists it as uncharacterized. The record is from RefSeq and is a predicted model, not a curated record. NCBI's taxonomy places the organism in Eukaryota, Metazoa, Chordata, Mammalia, Carnivora, Felidae. The transcript is spliced from 2 exons.
UACUGUCUCUCUUUUUAAAUUCACUUGCUUGAGUGUGCCCUAUACCUUAAUUUUUGGUCUAAAUUCAAACUUUAAUGAUACUACCUCUUUUUUUUUCAAUCAGUUCCCUCCAAUCUUCCAUCCUUGUCUAACCAAAUGUGAUUGUUGUGGGAUCAUGAAGUACAACAGCCAAGAAAGAAUUCUUGAGACUUCAUAGGGUGCAACUUAAACUGUUCAUCUAGAGAUGAGGCCUGAAUCCAAAGAAAAAAACACCAAAGCUCAAAACUGAUCAUGAAGAGACAUCUCAUGGUAUGAUAAUGCAAAGACUCACCAGGGAUAAUCCAUACCUGGAGAAUUCUAGAAUGUGAUGAUUCAUCCAGAGUCCCAAGAAAACCAUGACAGAUUCUGGAAUCAAGUUGCCUGGAUCCACAGGAAAACUCUCAUGCAUGAGAUGGAGCAUAAUUAGAAUGAACUUAAAUGACAGUGUAGUCUAGACACAAACCUUGUGGGGGUCUUUUGUUUUGUUGUUGCUGUUUUGUUUGGCUUUGUUUUGUUUUGUUUUUUUACAAACCUUGUUAUGUAAAAGAGUAUGACAUGAAGGAAAAGACUACAAACAAAACUCACACUUAACCCACCAUAAGAAAUGCUUUAAUGUUAACUAUACUGGAAUUAAAUUUAAAAAAAAAAAAAAGGAUCAUGGUAAGCAGUCUGCAUAGAUGGCCCCAGUGGACCACAUCUCCUGAUAUUUGUGCUUUUGUGUAGCCCUAUUGAAUCUCGAUUGGUUUGUGACUUACUAUAUCCAAUAGAAAUGCAAAAGAAGUGAUGUUCUGGACUUCUGAGUCUCGGCAUUAAGGUCUAGAAGCUUAUGAUUUUUUUUCAUUUUUGGAGUUCUGUAGAGGUUAUACACACUCUUGGAGGCUACAAAAGCCCUUACAUACCACCCAUAAAGGGGUAUUUGAUAUACCAAGGUGUUUAAUAAAGGAUUAAUCUUACCCAAAGAAAGGUUUGGCCCUUUGGCUUGGCUCCUGGGAGAUAAUCUUAUAAGUCCUUAGAAUGUCCUUCCUGUGGGGUGCCUAGGUGGCGCAGUCAGUUGAGUGUUUGACUUCAGUUCAGGUCAUGAUCUCACAGUUCGUGAGUUUGAGCUCCACGUCAGGCUUUGUGCUGACAGCUCAGAGCCUGGAGCCUGCUUCGGAUUCUGUGUCUCCCUCUCUCUCUGCUCCUCCCCUGCUCACACGCUGUCUCUCUCUCUCUCUCUCUCUC